This 301-nucleotide long non-coding RNA is filed under the name Fukomys damarensis (Damara mole-rat). RNAcentral's name for it is "lncRNA (ENSFDAG00000029248.1)". The record is from RNAcentral. Lineage: Eukaryota; Metazoa; Chordata; Mammalia; Rodentia; Bathyergidae.
GAGAAAGCAAAGCCAGAGGAGAAUUUCCUAAGAGUGAGAGUGAGGACCCACAGUGUUGGGAAUGAAUCUUUUCUUCCUCAUGAUCUCUGUGUUGGUGAAAUACAUACUUUCCUUGUUUGUUCUACUGAGUGAAGAUGAUGCUAAUAAGAAAAAGAAGAAAAUCGGAACAAGAACUUGGAAGCUACAUCCUACUGACCCACAGGUGAGUUGGAGGGUGGGUAGCCUCACUCCACAGGGCACAUGCGAGAAAGAAGCACCUUAAACUGAGAGCUCUCAACUGUCCUUCCACAACUCAGCGACU